ACGUGCUCCGGGGUCAGUGAGAUUCUGAACCGGCGGUGACAGUCCGCGACCCGCGGUCCUCCCAGGAGGGCGGCGGUUGACCUGGUGGAACUCCAGGACCGACGGUGAUGGCGCAGCCGCAAGGCUGGCGUCGAGUCCGGAUGAGAGGAAGCACAG
This 156-nucleotide non-coding RNA is filed under the name Cnuibacter physcomitrellae. Its description in RNAcentral is "FMN sequence". It matches the Rfam family "FMN riboswitch aptamer (RFN element)". Rfam says of the family: The RFN element is a highly conserved domain that is found frequently in the 5'-untranslated regions of prokaryotic mRNAs that encode for flavin mononucleotide (FMN) biosynthesis and transport proteins. The record is from Rfam by way of RNAcentral. Lineage: Bacteria; Bacillati; Actinomycetota; Actinomycetes; Micrococcales; Microbacteriaceae.